AUUUAUGUUUUAUUAAUUAAAUUUAAUUUUUAACGGAGUUAUAAAGUAGUUAGACGCUGAUUUAUUGAUAUGAUCGAGUAUUUUUCCGUGGCAGGUAAAAUGAAAAUAUUUUAAAAGCACGCAAGGAUAUGUAAAAUAUAUAAUAAACCCCAUAUAAAAACUCAUUAUUAAGAAGAAAAAUAACGAAUCCAAGUAUUGUUUCACAUUAAUAUUAAAACAAAAUAUAUACCAUGUAUACUCGUAAGUUUCCAAAGUUGAAAAGUUCAAAAACCAAAAUAUAAAAAAUUUUAAAGCUGAGCCCACCUACUGUCAAUUGAAUAAUGGAUUUUCUGAGGUUUUACUCAAAUUCAUUGAAUAUUCAUUACUUAAGGUUAUGGGCCUCAUACCGUAUAUACAGGCUGUGAUGAUCGGGCGCCUCUUAUAAAUGGAAUGUAUGAAAUGAAAUGGAAUAUGUGUUUUGUUUUUUCUGUUUUCCCAUACGCUGAGAAUCAAAAUUGGUGUUUUAUUGGAUACAGAAUUUCAAGCCGCUUUUUAACUUUAAGCAUUUUCCAGCAAUUGUUUGGAUCUCAAGACUAUGCAGUAAAGUAUGUGUUUGUUUAAAAAAUAUAAGCGAAUCUUUAGCUCCAGAUUACAUUUGCUGUGACUACUUAUGGAAGUAAUCGGUAUCCUAGUGAGCAAGUGAGCAUAGAAGAGCGGUUGGUUUAUAUCUAAAUUGCUUUUAUAUCUAGUCAGUGGCUAGACUGAUCCUGUGAAGAUAUAUACAUUCAACAGUCAUUGACAUGGACUGCAGCAGUCAUGUAAAGCCAUCUAUCUUUUAAUCAGCUGAUAUAAUGAGAUGCAAAAGUUCAGGAUUAUGGACUACUUCUGAAGUAAUACGUAUCUUUUUGAGUGAUUGGUUUGUAUUCAACUGCAAGAGUCACUUACAUGGAGUAAUAUUGUAUAAGGCCAUCUCUUAAUCAGCUGAUGUGACGAGAUGCAAAAGAUUAGGAUUGUGGACUACUUCGGAACCAAUAGAUAUUCUUUUUAGUGAUUGGUGUGUAUUAAACUACAAGAGCCAGUGCCAUGGAGUAAUAUUGUAUAAAGCCAUCUUUUGAUUAGUGAUGGGAUUUAAAAGUUCAGGAUUGCAUUUUCUGGAACCAUUAUUGAUCUUACAAAAUCAGUUGCUUUAACUGCAAUUGGUUUUCGCUAGUGGAUUUGCUAUGUCUCGAUUGGUUAUUUGGUUAUUUGAUAGAUAGAUCCUGUAAAGACAUGUAUUCACUGAUUUGGAUUGAUUUCAUGGGAUUCAGAAGAAAUUAUUAACACUCGGCACAAAACUUAUGUUUCAUGAGAUAGAAAAACAACUUAGCAAUUUGAGGUUGUUGUACGGAAGCAGUAAGUUGAAUGAAGAUACAUUCCGAUAAGGCGCAUUGCAUUUAUAAUAUAAAAUGCAUAAACAUAA
Teleopsis dalmanni is the source of this 1438-nucleotide long non-coding RNA. RefSeq lists it as uncharacterized. The record is from RefSeq and is a predicted model, not a curated record. The transcript has 4 exons. NCBI's taxonomy places the organism in Eukaryota, Metazoa, Arthropoda, Insecta, Diptera, Diopsidae.